AAAGAAAGAAGUAUUUUAUACCUUAGUUGGAUUUAGUUACUACCAUUGAUAUCUUCUUUCACCGACUUGACAGAUGCUGAGCUAAGACCUUUAAUGUUUGGGUUUGGGUGGCAGGGGAUUCUUGCAUUGUCGGACAUCAGACAGUAUUUGGUGUUGUAGGAGUGUCAGAAGAGUAUUGCAUACUCAGCUACUCCAAUCGUUUGAGGAUGGUGGAAUUGAUUGCUGAAUCAAUGGUGCCAUGUCAUGCCCCCUAUAUUACAUUUGCCCAAAUCAAAGUGCAUAUAUUUCCACGAGGUUUUGUUGUAAUA
Molecule: long non-coding RNA, 308 nt
Organism: Lolium rigidum
Lineage: Eukaryota; Viridiplantae; Streptophyta; Magnoliopsida; Poales; Poaceae
Exons: 3
Source: RefSeq, a predicted model, not a curated record